GGGGGUAUAGCUCAGCUGGGAGAGCACCUGCUUUGCAAGCAGGGGGUCAGGAGUUCGAUCCUCCUUACCUCCA
This is a non-coding RNA of Azospirillum sp. CAG:260, 73 nucleotides long. Lineage: Bacteria; Pseudomonadati; Pseudomonadota; Alphaproteobacteria; Rhodospirillales; Azospirillaceae. The record is from Rfam.